Small nuclear RNA from Crocodylus porosus (Australian saltwater crocodile), 166 nucleotides. Its record names the gene U1. It matches the Rfam family "U1 spliceosomal RNA". From Rfam's summary of the family: U1 is a small nuclear RNA (snRNA) component of the spliceosome (involved in pre-mRNA splicing). Its 5' end forms complementary base pairs with the 5' splice junction, thus defining the 5' donor site of an intron. NCBI's taxonomy places the organism in Eukaryota, Metazoa, Chordata, Crocodylia, Crocodylidae. The record is from Ensembl.
AGAUCAGCCUGGCAGGGGCAACACAACGAUUGUGAAGAUGGUUUCCCCAGGGUGAGGCCUGUCCCUUGCACUCCAGGCAGACUGAUUCCUGUGAGGUUCUCCAAAUGCAGAAUACUCAACUGCACAACUUUGUGGUAAUGGGGGACCGGUUUUUCGCUUUCCCUAG